AAUUGACGGGGGCCCGCACAAGCGGCGGAGCAUGCGGAUUAAUCGAUGCAACGCGAAGAACCUUACCAAGGCUUGACAUACACCGGUAACGCCCAGAGAUGGGUGCCCCUUUGUGGUCGGUGUACAGGUGGUGCAUGGUUGUCGUCAGCUCGUGUCGUGAGAUGUUGGGUUAAGUCCCGCAACGAGCGCAACCCUCGUCCUAUGUUGCCAGCGGGUCAUGCCGGGGACUCAUGGGAGACUGCCGGGGUCAACUCGGAGGAAGGUGGGGAUGACGUCAAAUCAUCAUGCCCCUUAUGUCUUGGGCUUCACGCAUGCUACAAUGGCCGGUACAAAGGGCUGCGAUACCGCGAGGUGGAGCGAAUCCCAGAAAGCCGGUCUCAGUUCGGAUUGGGGUCUGCAACUCGACCCCAUGAAGUCGGAGUCGCUAGUAAUCGCAGAUCAGCAACGCUGCGGUGAAUACGUUCCCGGGCCUU
Molecule: ribosomal RNA, 473 nt
Filed under: uncultured Curtobacterium sp.
Lineage: Bacteria; Bacillati; Actinomycetota; Actinomycetes; Micrococcales; Microbacteriaceae
Description: bacterial SSU rRNA
Rfam family: Bacterial small subunit ribosomal RNA
Source: RNAcentral